Sander lucioperca (pikeperch) is the source of this 134-nucleotide long non-coding RNA. RefSeq lists it as uncharacterized. The record is from RefSeq and is a predicted model, not a curated record. The transcript has 3 exons. NCBI's taxonomy places the organism in Eukaryota, Metazoa, Chordata, Actinopteri, Perciformes, Percidae.
CUGCAGAGGAGGACCAUCACCACAGUAUUCACUCGGCAGUCAGCAUGGCGUCCGCUCCGCCAAGGCAACCCGCCGGCGCCAGCGCACAGGUAAGACAUGUGAAAGAUAUUAUCCUUUUUGAAUAGAUCCUUUGG